This 402-nucleotide ribosomal RNA is filed under the name uncultured Novosphingobium sp. RNAcentral's name for it is "bacterial SSU rRNA". It matches the Rfam family "Bacterial small subunit ribosomal RNA", at positions 355 to 774 of the family's 1533-position model. The record is from RNAcentral. Lineage: Bacteria; Pseudomonadati; Pseudomonadota; Alphaproteobacteria; Sphingomonadales; Sphingomonadaceae.
UGGGGAAUAUUGGACAAUGGGCGAAAGCCUGAUCCAGCAAUGCCGCGUGAGUGAUGAAGGCCUUAGGGUUGUAAAGCUCUUUUACCAGGGAUGAUAAUGACAGUACCUGGAGAAUAAGCUCCGGCUAACUCCGUGCCAGCAGCCGCGGUAAUACGGAGGGAGCUAGCGUUGUUCGGAAUUACUGGGCGUAAAGCGCGCGUAGGCGGUUUCUCAAGUCAGAGGUGAAAGCCCGGGGCUCAACCCCGGAACUGCCUUUGAAACUAGGAGACUAGAAUCUUGGAGAGGUCAGUGGAAUUCCGAGUGUAGAGGUGAAAUUCGUAGAUAUUCGGAAGAACACCAGUGUCGAAGGCGACUGACUGGACAAGUAUUGACGCUGAGGUGCGAAAGCGUGGGGAGCAAACA